UCACAGACCCCUUUGUGCAAAGAAGACCAUCUUUUAGGACUGUUUUGGCCUGUUGGUGCCCUUGUCCUCAACACACUGCAGCUCAGUGGUGGCUCUGUCCCCUGGGACCCGGCGUGCAUUUCUGGGUGGUAUCACUUGCUGGAGUCCAUGCUGCAGGGUUGUCAGGGCUAGCAGUUUCUCAGAUGGGAUGGCCCUGGACAGGCACUGGUGCCUGAGUCUCUUGGGUGGGUUGUGAGUGAGGUCUUAGAAGGGAAAAGAUGGUUUUCAUUGGUUUCCAUCUUCCAAGGAGCAUGAUGAGGACUGGUACGGUUUGAGGAGUAAUUGCCUCACCUUCAGAGAAGAGGGCAUGUAGUUAUUCUAAUUAAUAUUCAUAAUGGGGAACUUUAGAGAUGAGCUUUAAUUUUUAAACAAAUUUUUUAGCUGUUGAUGGACCUUUAUUUUAUUCAUAUUUAUGUCCCGUGCUGAAAACUG
RNAcentral lists this long non-coding RNA (471 nucleotides) under Marmota monax (woodchuck). Lineage: Eukaryota; Metazoa; Chordata; Mammalia; Rodentia; Sciuridae. The record is from RNAcentral.